This 546-nucleotide long non-coding RNA is filed under the name Homo sapiens (human). RNAcentral's name for it is "HSALNT0371684". The record is from RNAcentral. Lineage: Eukaryota; Metazoa; Chordata; Mammalia; Primates; Hominidae.
AUGGAAGCAGUGCACAGGGUGGGCCCAGGAGAGUUCCAGUUGUCCUCUCCCGCUGGAGUCACAGUGAGGGCCGCUGACCGAGAGAUGGUGGUGAGACUCCUCAGCGUGAGCAGUGCCCCAGACAGGCUCAGAUGACUUGCAAGAUCACCCGAUGUGAGGGCUCAAGACACUUGGAGGAGUUGUGGUGUGAAAAGAAAGCUUCCCAUUCUUGGCUAAAGGGGGAUUAGGAGAAAACUGAAUUCCAACAGGUGUAUGAAAAGGUGCUGAACCUCACUAAUCAUCAGGGAAAUGCAAAUCAACAGCAGAGUGAGAUGCCACCUCACGCCUGUUAGGUGGCUCAUAUGGUUUGGCUCCGUGUCCCCACCCAAAUCUCACCUCCAGUUGUAAUCUCCAUAAUCCCCACGUGUCAAGGGAGGAGCCUGGUGGGAGGUGAUUGGAUCAUGGGGGCCUUUUCCCCCAUGCUGUUCUCAUGGCAGUGAGGGAGUUCUCGCGAGAUCUCAUGGUUUCAUAAACGGCAGUUUCCCGUGGGCUUCUCUCACUCUCCCC